ACAAGAACAUUCCGCAAUGGGCGAAAGCCUGACGGAGCGACGCCGCGUGGUGGAUGAAGUGCUUCGGUACGUAAACACCUUUUCCCAGGGACGAAGUAAUUGACGGUACCUGGGGAAUAAGGGGCUCCUAACUCUGUGCCAGCAGGAGCGGUAAUACAGAGGCCCCAAGCAUUAUCCGGAAUCACUGGGCGUAAAGGGUGUCGAGGCGGUCGUAUUAGUCGUUUGUAAAAUCCAUGGGCUCAACCUAUGGUUCGCAAGCGAAACGGUACGACUCGAGGGUGUAAGAGGUAUAUGGAACUCAUGGUGUAGGGGUGAAAUCCGUUGAUAUCAUGGGGAACACCAAAGGCGAAGGCAAUAUACUGGUACAAUCCUGACGCUCACACACGAAAGCCAGGGGAUCGAACGGG
Molecule: ribosomal RNA, 407 nt
Filed under: uncultured bacterium
Lineage: Bacteria
Description: bacterial SSU rRNA
Rfam family: Bacterial small subunit ribosomal RNA
Source: RNAcentral